UGCUGCUGCGACAUACACAGCUCUCCUUGCUGGCUCCUGGUGGUCUAUGAAAGGCCCUGUUAGGUGAAGCCUCGCACCAGGAGCCCUGUAACUCUACCCCUUAUUUCUGCAGUAGUGUGGACUCAGAACGUCUUGUAAAUCUACUUUGCAAUAUUUCUCAAGUGCGAACAAAGGGGUCAAAGCAGUCCCUUAAACCAACCAACCAACCCAGACUAUAAACACGAUGGGCUGCUAUCGCUGAAGAGAAACCAGCAGCCCGUCAAGGUCGGUGUAGAGGCCAGUCGCGAGCAGGGCUGACCGGCAUUACCUGCGUGUGGCCGCAGCCAGUGCGGCUUUCCCGAGCCAGCUUGCUUUCCAGAAGGUUCCCUGGUUUCAGCCCCCACUACCUCACUGGAUCUCAGCCACGACAGCAGAGGCUGUUCCGGAGCCCAGCACCAAUCACCGACCUGUACUUGGGGCAAUCACAGGCCUGCAGCUGCUAUAUAAGCAGCGCUCCACCGUAUACUGACCUCCGUGUGCUCCAGCACAGGCUCUGUAAAACUUGCACAGGAAAAAUAUACAUUUAUUCAUCUGUUCCAAAGGACACAGCCAAACAUCUUUGAGAAUAAGUGUUUUUCGUGAAGAUCUGUGAUGCAGCAUCGCCUCAGGCAACUACAGGAAACGAGAAUUAACCCAAAUUUGUUUCCAUGGACACCACUUAGACCUCCUCAGAUGAAAGCAAGCAGAGCUGCCUGUGGAAAGAAUUAGUGUGCUUUAGAAACAAGAGCCAGAAGCAACAAACAAGUCUGAGGCAUCUCUUUGAAAUUAAUCAAAUGAGAAUGCCAGAGAAAAUGAAAUUGGAGUGGUUUGGACAUAUCAUGUGUUUGUGACAAACUCCGCAACAUUCAGGAUAAUGGGGGGGGGAGUCACAUGGAUAUCAAUGGUGCCACAUGGUUUUCCAUUGGACGAGAAUUGUUGCUUGAGUUGGAAACAGGCUAAGGUGAGCAUUCUGGUGUCACACUUGUGACUAGGUUAGGACAAUAGCAGAAAGACCAGUUUUAUGCAAAUACAAGAUGAGUCUCGAAAGUUAUGAGUUAUCCCAAGGGGGCUUGUUUGACAAAAGGGAAACUUUGCAACCUGUGAGGGAAGUUGGAAGAGGAAAGGAAAGGAAAGAAAACAUUGGGCCCUGACUAGAAUUACCCCUUUCACCCUUCAGGGCUGUCCAGAUGGUGUGUUUUUUAGUAAGAAAACUACAACUCAGAAUCUACUUCAAUUCCAACAAGAAAGUGAGGCCCAGGACUAAAACUUAGCAAGGCUGAGGUCUAGUAAAGUGGUUCCUAAGAGAAAUGCCUGAGAAAUUUGAUCCUUUCUUCUUCUUUUUUUUUUUUUUCUUUUUUCUUUCCUUUGGAGGCUUGGGAAUAGGAAGAAGCAGAAAUAACCAUUUAGAAGUAUGUGAGAUUUAUGAUGCGAAGACCUAGCAUUUCUCUAGGGUUUCAAAUGAAGUGUUUAGUAUUCUGUGAUGGCGGUAAUUGGCGGUCAGGAUGAUUAUAACUAUUUGUUAGGAUUUCUGGGGACAACAUAAAGCAUCAGAUUCAUGGGUUUUGCAGAGAGCCAUUGCCAAGGAAUUGUUUUUCAUCUUGUGCUUUUGUAGGACUUAAAACUGCAGCAAUCCUCAGGCAUCCCUGUAAAAUUUGUGGUCAGAAAUACUAUUUAUAUGUUCAGAAACAAAGACACACAUUGUUGAGUGAGAGAUCCAGUGACAUCCAGGGUAUCAUUGUCUCCUGACUCCUUGUUCUGUCAGAGUCACCA
This is a long non-coding RNA of Heterocephalus glaber (naked mole-rat), 1788 nucleotides long. RefSeq lists it as uncharacterized. Lineage: Eukaryota; Metazoa; Chordata; Mammalia; Rodentia; Bathyergidae. The record is from RefSeq and is a predicted model, not a curated record.